RNAcentral lists this ribosomal RNA (959 nucleotides) under Phacus inflexus. RNAcentral's name for it is "eukaryotic LSU rRNA". It matches the Rfam family "Eukaryotic large subunit ribosomal RNA", at positions 2154 to 2965 of the family's 3401-position model. Lineage: Eukaryota; Euglenozoa; Euglenophyceae; Euglenales; Phacaceae. The record is from RNAcentral.
CAGCUUGUGACGGGACCAGCUGGCUGGUACCAUGAGGUGACUUCUGCCCAGUGCUCUGAUUGUCAAUGCAAAGAGAUUUAGCCAAGCGCGGGUAAACGGCGGGAGUAACUAUGACUCUCUUAAGGUAGCCAAAUGCCUCGUCAACCAAUUAUUGACGCGCAUGAAUGGAUCAAUGAGAUUCCUGCUGUCCCUAGGUGCUGUCCGGUGAACCAACAGCCAAGGGAACGGGCUUGGGUGUGUCAGCGGGGAAAGAAGACCCUGUUGAGUUUGACUCUAGUUUGAUGCUGUGCAACAACAUGUGGGGUGUAGCAUAGGUGGGAGGCAAGUGCCAUGACCCACUCCUGUCGACCAGUCGAUGUGUGAGCUAUGAAGUCUCUAUGGUGCAAACCAGCAGUGAAAUACCACUACCUUCACCGUUGUUUUACUCAUCGAGUGGCUUGGGAACAGUGGCCAUUGGACAUCAGCUCCUGCAAGCCUGUGGGAGUUGUGGCCUUAUCCUGCUUCUUGAUCCAAGUGUGGCUGCUUGCAGUCACAUGACCCUAUGGGGUUCAUACCCUGUCUGUUAGUUUGGUGCCUCGGGACAAUGAUCAGAUGGGGAGUUUGGCUGGGGCGGCAUGCCUGUUACAUCACAACGCAGGCGUCCUGAAGCAUUACUCAGUUGGAACUGAAAUCUUGCAUGGAGGAGCAGGCCAAAGGUGCUGCUGAUGUGGUGACUUUCAGUACAAGUCCAGAACACUCAAGUGUGGCCUUGCGAUCCUUUGGUCAAGUGCACUAUUUGGGAUAUUGAAGCCAGAGGUGUCAGAAAAAUUACCACAGGGAUAACUGGCUUGUGGCUGCCAAGCGCUCAAAGCGACGUCGCUUUUUGAUCCUUCGAUGUCGGCUCUUCCUAGCUUCUCACCCGCAGCUGAGUAGAAGAGUUGGAUUGUUCACCCACUAACAGGGAACGUGAGCUGGGUUUA